This 1283-nucleotide ribosomal RNA is filed under the name Pseudarthrobacter sulfonivorans. RNAcentral's name for it is "bacterial SSU rRNA". It matches the Rfam family "Bacterial small subunit ribosomal RNA", at positions 56 to 1351 of the family's 1533-position model. The record is from RNAcentral. Lineage: Bacteria; Bacillati; Actinomycetota; Actinomycetes; Micrococcales; Micrococcaceae.
UGCAAGUCGAACGAUGAUCCCAGCUUGCUGGGGGAUUAGUGGCGAACGGGUGAGUAACACGUGAGUAACCUGCCCUUAACUCUGGGAUAAGCCUGGGAAACUGGGUCUAAUACCGGAUAUGACUCCUCAUCGCAUGGUGGGGGGUGGAAAGCUUUAUUGUGGUUUUGGAUGGACUCGCGGCCUAUCAGCUUGUUGGUGAGGUAAUGGCUCACCAAGGCGACGACGGGUAGCCGGCCUGAGAGGGUGACCGGCCACACUGGGACUGAGACACGGCCCAGACUCCUACGGGAGGCAGCAGUGGGGAAUAUUGCACAAUGGGCGAAAGCCUGAUGCAGCGACGCCGCGUGAGGGAUGACGGCCUUCGGGUUGUAAACCUCUUUCAGUAGGGAAGAAGCGAAAGUGACGGUACCUGCAGAAGAAGCGCCGGCUAACUACGUGCCAGCAGCCGCGGUAAUACGUAGGGCGCAAGCGUUAUCCGGAAUUAUUGGGCGUAAAGAGCUCGUAGGCGGUUUGUCGCGUCUGCCGUGAAAGUCCGGGGCUCAACUCCGGAUCUGCGGUGGGUACGGGCAGACUAGAGUGAUGUAGGGGAGACUGGAAUUCCUGGUGUAGCGGUGAAAUGCGCAGAUAUCAGGAGGAACACCGAUGGCGAAGGCAGGUCUCUGGGCAUUAACUGACGCUGAGGAGCGAAAGCAUGGGGAGCGAACAGGAUUAGAUACCCUGGUAGUCCAUGCCGUAAACGUUGGGCACUAGGUGUGGGGGACAUUCCACGUUUUCCGCGCCGUAGCUAACGCAUUAAGUGCCCCGCCUGGGGAGUACGGCCGCAAGGCUAAAACUCAAAGGAAUUGACGGGGGCCCGCACAAGCGGCGGAGCAUGCGGAUUAAUUCGAUGCAACGCGAAGAACCUUACCAAGGCUUGACAUGAACCGGAAACACCUGGAAACAGGUGCCCCGCUUGCGGUCGGUUUACAGGUGGUGCAUGGUUGUCGUCAGCUCGUGUCGUGAGAUGUUGGGUUAAGUCCCGCAACGAGCGCAACCCUCGUUCUAUGUUGCCAGCGCGUUAUGGCGGGGACUCAUAGGAGACUGCCGGGGUCAACUCGGAGGAAGGUGGGGACGACGUCAAAUCAUCAUGCCCCUUAUGUCUUGGGCUUCACGCAUGCUACAAUGGCCGGUACAAAGGGUUGCGAUACUGUGAGGUGGAGCUAAUCCCAAAAAGCCGGUCUCAGUUCGGAUUGGGGUCUGCAACUCGACCCCAUGAAGUCGGAGUCGCUAGUAAUCGUAGAUCA